This 613-nucleotide ribosomal RNA is filed under the name uncultured bacterium. Its description in RNAcentral is "bacterial SSU rRNA". The stretch from base 1 to 518 matches the Rfam family "Bacterial small subunit ribosomal RNA", at positions 338 to 873 of the family's 1533-position model. The record is from RNAcentral.
CCUACGGGAGGCAGCAGUGGGGAAUAUUGGACAAUGGGCGAAAGCCUGAUCCAGCAAUGCCGCGUGAGUGAUGAAGGCCUUAGGGUUGUAAAGCUCUUUUACCAGGGAUGAUAAUGACAGUACCUGGAGAAUAAGCUCCGGCUAACUCCGUGCCAGCAGCCGCGGUAAUACGGAGGGAGCUAGCGUUGUUCGGAAUUACUGGGCGUAAAGCGUGCGUAGGCGGCUAUUCAAGUCAGAGGUGAAAGCCCGGGGCUCAACCCCGGAACGGCCUUUGAAACUAGGUAGCUAGAAUCUUGGAGAGGUUAGUGGAAUUCCGAGUGUAGAGGUGAAAUUCGUAGAUAUUCGGAAGAACACCAGUGGCGAAGGCGACUAACUGGACAAGUAUUGACGCUGAGGUACGAAAGCGUGGGGAGCAAACAGGAUUAGAUACCCUGGUAGUCCACGCCGUAAACGAUGAUAACUAGCUGUCCGGGCACUUGGUGCUUGGGUGGCGCAGCUACGACAUUAAGUUAUCCGUCCGUCGGGUAGGUACGGUCGCGAAGAAUUAAAACUAACAAAGGAAAGUUAGUACGGCGUGAGACGUGCCGAACGGACGACGACGAGGGAAGGUAGG